Molecule: ribosomal RNA, 568 nt
Filed under: uncultured bacterium
Lineage: Bacteria
Description: bacterial SSU rRNA
Rfam family: Bacterial small subunit ribosomal RNA
Source: RNAcentral
CCUACGGGAGGCAGCAGUGGGGAAUAUUGCGCAAUGGGCGAAAGCCUGACGCAGCAACGCCGCGUGAGGGAUGACGGCCUUCGGGUUGUAAACCUCUUUCAGCAGGGACGAAGCGAAAGUGACUGUACCUGCAGAAGAAGCGCCGGCUAACUACGUGCCAGCAGCCGCGGUAAUACGUAGGGCGCAAGCGUUGUCCGGAUUUAUUGGGCGUAAAGAGUUCGUAGGCGGUCUGUCGCGUCGGAAGUGAAAACCCGGAGCUCAACUCCGGGCCUGCUUUCGAUACGGGCAGACUUGAGUGUUGCAGGGGAGACUGGAAUUCCUGGUGUAGCGGUGGAAUGCGCAGAUAUCAGGAGGAACACCGGUGGCGAAGGCGGGUCUCUGGGCAACAACUGACGCUGAGGAACGAAAGCGUGGGGAGCGAACAGGAUUAGAUACCCUGGUAGUCCACGCUGUAAACGGUGGGCACUAGGUGUGGGGACCAUUCCACGGUCUCUGCGCCGCAGCUAACGCAUUAAGUGCCCCGCCUGGGGAGUACGGCCGCAAGGCUAAAACUCAAAGGAAUUGACGG